RNAcentral lists this unclassified non-coding RNA (3084 nucleotides) under Hevea brasiliensis (rubber tree). The record is from RNAcentral. Lineage: Eukaryota; Viridiplantae; Streptophyta; Magnoliopsida; Malpighiales; Euphorbiaceae.
CAGAGUACAAGCAUAUUGAAGCAGUUAUUAAAAGUAGUUUUGAUUUCUAUGCAUUAACCGUUGCUUGUAAAUGGAAUUCAUCAUAUUAAAGACAGGUUUCUCAGAUAAAUUUCCUUUCCUUUUCAUUACUGGAUAUUUAAAGGGACUGAUACAGCAAGUUGGGUAUCAAAAGAUAAAUAUUUAAAGGAUAGAACUUCCAAGUGAAUUUACAACUUCCAAGUGAAUUUACAACUUCCAAUUCGCCCUGUAGCUCUGUCUCACGAAGACAAAUGGCUUAAACUUCUAUUUGCCGUGCUUUAUCAUUGAGAUUUGACAUGCUUCCUUCCCAUAACUCAGCUAGUUCCCUCCUAAUCCACGAGAUGACGAUUAUAGGUCCCAGUGUCGACGGCACCUACACUCACCAAUGAGGGGGAAAAAGUUGAAGAGAAAAAAGGUUAAAAAUGGAUUAGCUAAUCUGCACCAUCUUAACAUUUGGUUAAUACUUUUAUACGUCUAAUGAGAUCCUAGCAAUAAUGACUUAGAUUUUGCACUUGUAUAUUUAACGAAGUUUUGUCUACCAAGCAAAGCAAAAAACUUGCAUAAGCAACACUCACUGAUGACAAUUAACCUAAUUAAAGAAAGCUCUCCAUCAAAAUUUCAUCAAUGCAUAAGAUCACAAGAAAAUACUGAAAACUUGAAUAAAUAACAAUAAAAUAAGUACCAGAUAAAGAAGUGCAGGUUGGGGUGAGCGAGUCAAAACACCAGCUGCCAAAGCAGUUACCAGUCCAAUGGCAUAUCCAGAAAGGGCAUACCAUAUGUAUUUGUGUCCCUUUGAGGAAUGAAUAUCUAAGAGACUUACAGGAUCUCUGCUCUUUCGAUGAUCAAAACAAAGGAUUAAUGCCAAAAGCAUGGCCGGAAUAGCCUGCAAUAACAUAUCAAAAUAAAAAAAUAAAAUUAUUUCAAUACUUCCUCUGAAAUAGCAGACAGCACCAUAAUAUUCACGAUGGAGAAAACCCAGUGAAAUUUGUUUAUAAUAGGUACAUCAAUGCUCAUAAAUUUACAUGAAGUUCACCGAGGAAAGCAAGUGCACCCAGCAUCAGUGCUCUUUCGGUCACAAAAUAUUAUUGCAAAACUUAAGUUGCGUAGGAUUUGUAUUACUCUCAAGUUAUAUGAUAACUUCAUAAUGCAGCUUCAGCUAGGAAGAAAAGUGUUUUUAAACAAUAGCCUAGCUAGUAGCUUCUAUGAGGAAAGGGAAGCAUACCAAUAUGAAUCAUCAAUCAGUCCAAAAAUGAAAAGCUUGAGUAUUGAAAUAAAUUGAAAACAACACAUACAACCAGGGGAGAAGAAACACUUAACAAAUAAUGAUUCACAGUGAAGAAUUUUAACCAAUGCGUCCUCAAGGUCUCACCACCUCCAUCAUUCUAUUACUACACAAAAAACUAAAAAGAUAUGAAUAUCUAAUAUAAAGAGAGUAGAGACCAAUAAGAAGUAAGAAGGCAGCUAUUCAUCCUUGACUAAGACUAAAGUAAAGACCACACAUGAGGCCUUUUAAGGAAUUAGAAACAAAAGAUCAAUAGUAACCAAACAAAACCAAGAAAAUGAUACAAUCAGCAAAUAUGCAUUAUGCAGACUACUGCAUAAUAUUUUGCAUUCGCAUAAAAUGAACUGCUCAAUUGCAAUGUAGUUCCAUUACAAGGCUUCCGGAGAGGACGGAGGGUGCCAAAUACUAUACAGUGUGUGCUGAUGCUUGUUACCAGAAGAACAGAACACACUAAAUCAUUAUCAGUACUUCAGUUAUGAAAACAACAAAAACUUAGAUGCAAUAUCACUGCAGGGUUUAUAAAAACAACACACCUUGUAGAUUUGGGAAAAUCUACUUCAAGACCACUGACAGAAAAAAAGUUAUCAUACCAUGUCUCCAAGGCCAAGCAUCAUGAAGUCUGCACCAUUUCCUCCAAGAACUGCACCACUGAACAAAUUUCUUGGGAAGACUAUUUUCACAGGCAACUCAAGCUUCUUUGUAAUCAAUUGCAACCCAGGAAGACUCAAACUAUUAGCUACUGUAUGGACAGGAUUUGAUGCUUGUUGUGUUGCCACUGAUACCAUGACAUUGGCACCAAAAAAUCUCUCUGAGAAGAACACCCAGAAUAUGUCAUAUACAAACAAGCAUGCAAGUAGCAUUGCGCAUAUUUUGAUGUUUGGAAGGCGCACAUGACUCACAAAUGCGAUACAAAUAGAAAUACCCAACAAGUUGUUCAAAACCCAAUGCCCAGAAACAAGCCAAGCUGCAACUGUAAUAAAGCAUGCCAACAACAAUAAGCCUUGGAUUCGUGUAAAUGACUUUGAACAGCAACGUGACACAAAUGGAUCUGCCAAGCCAUAAUUCGACUUUACAUAGGCAACACAAGGAGAGAGGCAGAAGACUAGGGAUGAAACAGAGGCAAUGGCUGUGAAUGCAGUGAGAAGUUGAGAGACAGAUGAAAACAGGUAAAACAUUAAAAGCAAACUGCAAGAGCUCAUUAUUGGGAUCAUUAGUGCCUGGGACUUGUCCAAUGUAAUAGAAGCUUCUGAUAAGUCACGAUUCCGCUCCAUUUCUUUCCCAUGAUUUAGAGCUCUAAAUGCAGACCCAAAUGUCACAGCCACAGCUGUCAUUAUUAGCGUAAUGGGUGCAGGCUCCAGUAAAUACAACAGCUUCCACAAGGACUCCAUGAUGAAGAGCACAAUUAUGUUAAUUCAAGCCUGUCUUCUGUAAACAACUGUAUCACCAAUUUAGCAACCAAAAUUGCAUUUUAUCUUUAAUGAAUGCUUGACCAGAUUAAUUCAUGUGAACCUCACUAAAUACACGAUCAAGCCCUAUUUUAGUUCAACAUCUCACUUUCCAUUUGAAAAUGAAACCAACAACCAGCAAAAAAGAAUUAAACUUUUGACUUUUCUCUGCUUUCCCUUGUUUUUGUCAGCAACAAAACAACAGGUUACCACUCCAAAUUUCUCAAUCUGCAUUCUUCCCAUCUGUUAGUCCCAAAGCACUAACAUCUCGAGCUCACAAACAAACAGGCAACUUGGACUUUGAAGCGCUUGAAAGACUCACUCGAAUCAACGAACGAG